RNAcentral lists this ribosomal RNA (1286 nucleotides) under Lachnospira eligens. RNAcentral's name for it is "[Eubacterium] eligens partial 23S ribosomal RNA". It matches the Rfam family "Bacterial large subunit ribosomal RNA", at positions 1629 to 2925 of the family's 2925-position model. Lineage: Bacteria; Bacillati; Bacillota; Clostridia; Lachnospirales; Lachnospiraceae. The record is from RNAcentral.
GUGUUUGAUGUACCCGUACCGUAAACCGACACAGGUGGAUGAGGAGAGAAUCCUAAGGCCGGCGGGAGAAGCAUUGUUAAGGAACUCGGCAAAAUGACCCCGUAACUUCGGGAGAAGGGGUGCUCCAGAGAUGGAGCCGCAGAGAACUGGCCCAAGCAACUGUUUAGCAAAAACACAGGUCUAUGCAAAACCGAAAGGUGAGGUAUAUGCUGACGCCUGCCCGGUGCUGGAAGGUUAAGAGGAGAUGUUAGCCGCAAGGUGAAGCAUUGAAUUUAAGCCCCAGUAAACGGCGGCCGUAACUAUAACGGUCCUAAGGUAGCGAAAUUCCUUGUCGGGUAAGUUCCGACCCGCACGAAAGGCGUAAUGAUUUGGGCACUGUCUCGACAAUGCACCCGGUGAAAUUGAAAUACCAGUGAAGAUGCUGGUUACCUGCGCCAGGACGGAAAGACCCCAUGGAGCUUUACUCUAGCUUGAUACUGGGGUUCGGUAUUGCAUGUACAGGAUAGGUGGGAGACGAAGAGGCAGUGACGCCAGUUGCUGCGGAGUCGAUGUUGGGAUACCACCCCUGCAGUACUGGGCUUCUAACCUGCAGCCGUGACCCGGCUGGGGGACAAUGUCUGGUGGGGAGUUUGACUGGGGCGGUCGCCUCCGAAAGAGUAUCGGAGGCGCUCAAAGGUUCCCUCAGAAUGGUUGGAAACCAUUCGAAGAGCGCAAAGGCAGAAGGGAGCUUGACUGCGACACCGACGGGUGGAGCAGGUACGAAAGUAGGACUUAGUGAUCCGGUGGUAUGAAAGUGGGAUUGCCAUCGCUCAACGGAUAAAAGCUACCCUGGGGAUAACAGGCUUAUCACUCCCAAGAGUUCACAUCGACGGAGUGGUUUGGCACCUCGAUGUCGGCUCAUCGCAUCCUGGGGCUGUAGUAGGUCCCAAGGGUUGGGCUGUUCGCCCAUUAAAGCGGUACGCGAGCUGGGUUCAGAACGUCGUGAGACAGUUCGGUCCCUAUCCGGCGUGGGCGUAGGAUAUCUGAGAGGAGCUGUCCUUAGUACGAGAGGACCGGGAUGGACUGACCUCUGGUGCACCGGUUGCAUUGCCAAAUGCAUAGCCGGGUAGCCAAGUCGGGACGGGAUAAACGCUGAAGGCAUCUAAGCGUGAAGCCCCCCUCAAGAUGAGAUAUCCCAUAACGUAAGUUAGUAAGACCCCUUGAAGACGACGAGGUAGAUAGGCAGAAGGUGGAAGUGUGGUGACAUAUGGAGCUGAUCUGUACUAAUAGGUCGAGGGCUUAACCAA